GACGAACCGUGCGAACGUUAUUCGGAAUCACUGGGCUUAAAGCGCGUGUAGGCGGCCCGGCGCGUCGGAUGCUGAAAUCCCCCGGCUCAACCGGGGAAGGGGCGCCGAUACGGCCGGGCUGGAGGGGGGUAGGGGGCGCUGGAACUCACGGUGGAGCGGUGAAAUGCGUUGAGAUCGUGAGGAACGCCCGCGGCGAAAGCGAGCGCCUGGACCCUUUCUGACGCUGAGACGCGAAAGCCAGGGGAGCGAAC
RNAcentral lists this ribosomal RNA (251 nucleotides) under uncultured bacterium. RNAcentral describes it as "partial 16S ribosomal RNA". It matches the Rfam family "Bacterial small subunit ribosomal RNA", at positions 524 to 773 of the family's 1533-position model. The record is from RNAcentral.